AUCCUUAAAGGUUGUUUAUGGUGGUUCUCACUGCUUAUAACAGUGAGGUCGUAGCCCCAAGAAAAAUAAGACACGUGCAUUCAAUUUAUUUGCCUCCUUGUUUUUGUUUUUGUUCAAGUGACCUUUAUAAGCAAUCGACCAUCGAAUGAAGUUGUUUCAGGGUAAUAUGCUUUCCUCAAAUAGUAUUUUACUUAAAAACAUCAUAUAAUUGAAUAUGAGAGUGGGGGAAGACAAGGUUGUAGAUGAGGGGUUGGUGGUUGUGUGGGUGGCAAAAGAAGCGUAUGGAAAUACAUUAAACAAGUCAACAUUGUGUGUGUUAAAAACUCUCUGUAAAAAAAAAAAAAAAAAGUUGAGAGCCUGUCCUAUAGUGUAAGAUACUUUAUAAGGCUUUGAACACAGGGCAAAUCCUUUUUGUGAGGAAUAAUUUUUGGAGAAAAAUACCUUCUAUUUGGGCAUAUAACAUAUACACACGUCUCCACCCUUCUUGUUGCUAUCAGCUUCUAGCCUCCAGAAAAACGUCUCAAAUAUUCAUUGAUGUUCUAGACUCUGAGUUCCUUGAGGGCAACACUUUAAUUUUUACUAUCCUCAGAACAUGGUAUGGGGCCUAGCCUGAAGUGAGUCCUCAUUAAACAUUUGUUGAAUGAAUGAAUGGAUGAGUAAGUGAAUGAAGGCACGCAUGCACGGGUCAAUGAUGGUCAGUGACUUGUCCACGAUUAGACAGCAGUUAAGUUGCAGAGCCAUGACUGGCCUCAGGUCCUCUCACCCCUGCUCCAUUUCUUAUCCCCAUCCCUCCAGGGCUGUGUUACUCCCUGUCAUGCCUGGGCCCUUUCUAUCGCCACUCCCUGGCUUCUGACCAGCUUUCACACACAGGCAGAGUCGAGCUGUGUUGGCCACUGCUGCGGCCACUCACCACCGUGUAUGUUAUGUGUUCUGAGUGCAAAACGCACACCGAUUUCAAACACUUAGUACACACAAAAAAGAAUGUAAAGUAUCCCAUUAACAAUUUAUGUAUUGAUUACAUGUAGAAAUACGAUUUUAGGCACAUUAGGUUAAAUGAAAUGUUUUAAAAUUAAUUUCACUUCUUUAUACCUUUCUAGAAAUAUGCCUACUAGAAAAGCUAUAUUUAUAUCUGUGGCUUACAUUAUAUUUCUUUUGGACAGCCCUGAUAAGGAGGAUUAAGAUUUGUCUAGGAGUUUGGAGAACACUGGCCAGGGGACAAGCUAAGGUAGGCUCUGUCUUUUUGAAGCCUAUUUACAACAACUACAGGUAGGCCUGUAGACAAGCAAGUUCGGGGAUGGAAAUCUAGAAAAGCAUGCUCCUCUGCGGGACCCUUCUGUCCACUCCUACGGAAACAUGUACUGCUCGGACUCUUAGCCCACCCAUGAGUUCAAAGGGUUAAAAGGGACACACCAGCAAAUGCUCAAAUCCCUUCUACCGUGGCUCCAUUGAACAGGGCAUCUGCCUGCUACCUAAGGACGACAAGACACCCCGACCAUGGAAAGCUUCCCUGCCACGUCCUGUUCUCACUCAGACAUUGAAGUCGAUCAGAGGAGAAUAGAGGCCUGAUCAAGGACCCCGGUUUCCAUCUUGUGACAGCCUGUGUGUGUUGUUUGGAGACCCGAAUGACACGAUGUGCAGGAAGGUGGAUGGCAGAACUCACAGUGCCAGGUGUGAUCACAGGAGCCAAGCGAUGAUGCUGCUGCGUGUCCUCCCACACCCUUCCAGGAUGUUCUGCCGCAAACAGUGGCUGAGAGUCCCAGCCCCGGGCCAUCAUUGUCUCCUCCCUAUGGCGUUUGUGUAAGAAACACCAGACAAGUAGCGGCAUCAAAAGACAACUUUCCCUUUCUUUCUGUGUCUGUGUGUAAGUAUGAAUCCAGUUUUCAGUUUCCCCAGAGCAGAACUAAUGUCAGCCAUCAGUAGUGAAAUUUCUGAGAUCCGGCCAGCUCCAGGGGGCCAAAUUUCCGCUGAGAUCCUAAGAUCCUUGGUUUCUAAGAAGACUGGUAUGCCAUCUUGUCACUGACACCAAGCACUAUCAGCCCAUUCCGAGUGGCUGCUUCUGACCUUCUCUUUCCCUUCUGGGAAGCCAGUCACCUUCUUAUAAUAGUUGGCGAUUAACACUAAGUUCUCCUGGGUCAACUGGUCUGGACUGUGCCUUCCAGCCUCAUAACAAAGACAGGUUUUGCUAAGAAACAGAAGGUAAAUAGCAAACAGACCACUGAACCUGAUACCAGGACCAAAGGGAACAUCUCUACCUAAUUGUCCCUGUAAACAGCUUUCCCGCUUAAAAAAUAGCGUGAGGUUAGCCAGGAACACCCAAUCCUUCCUCUCAUAGAAGCAGGCUGUUCUUUUUAUUCAGUAAAUUUAGAAAAUGCACUUAAAACAUUUUUUUUAAAGUAAACAUAGGGGCACCUAGAUGGCUCAGUCGUCUGAGGGUCUGACUCUUGAUUUUGGCUCGGAUCAUGAUCCCAGGGGCAUGGGAUUGAGCCCUGCAUCGGGCUCGACGCUGAGCAUGAAGACUGCUUAAGAUUCUCUCUCUCUUCCCCUCUCUCCUGCUCGUGCUUUCUCUAAAUAUAAAAAAAAAAAAAUUUUUUUAAGGAAACAUUUAGUGCUUCUAUUUCUGUAUUUCAGGUUGUUUAGUAUAGAGGAAGGAAUAAUGCAUUUUGAAAUGAAAGGCUUGGGAUCAAGUCUGCAUUCAUUCACUCAUGCAUUUACUAUCUACCUACCUGUCAUGUGUCAAGCACUGUAUUAGGUACUUGGUGAGGGAUCAAGGGGAGGAAAACUUAUAAGAACGAGUAAUUUGUGUUGCCUGUAAUGAGAAGUCCACAUUCUAGUGAGGAAGAGAAGCAGGAACCAGAUACUGGGUACCAGAGAAAAGUCUUACAAGGGUACCAUGCAAACUCAAGGGAGAGUAUGGCUACCCAAAGUUAGACUAGGGAUGAAACCAGUGAGUCGCUGGAGGAUCACAGAUGUCACAUCCAAAUGGGUGAAUAAGAGUUCUCCAGAGAGCAAAAAGGGAGAAGGACAUUUCAGGCAGAGUAAAGAAUACACAGGGCAUGUCUUAAUAUCCCCUGAAAGAACCCAAAAUUGUUUAUUUUUGACUUUUUUAAAAUGUUUAGGUCUCUAGAGUUGGAAUAGAUUUUUAAGAGUGACCAACCUCCUCAUUUACAAACAAGGUAAGACAAAAGAAGGAAAACAUUUGGGAGAUUUUCUUAGCCAAUUUCUUUUUCUAAGAUCCAUCCUUCUCUGACUAAAGAUGAUACAUUCUCUGGGAAAGAGUAGAAUCACAUAAUUUUGAUCAUGUUCAUUUUGAUCCUGGGUUGUAACAUAAUAUAAAAUAGAAAUGUCAUAUAUAUCCAGGAAUAAGACAGUGACACUUGCGAAAUUAAUGAGAUGGAAAUUUUCAAUGAAAACAACCCUAGGUCACAUUUCUUAUUUCAGAUCUUUGGUGGAGAUCUAAUUGGCAUGUCUUGCGAGUUAAUGGUAGACAGAGAUGCCCCCUGGGAAGAUGUGUGCCUAUGCACUCGGCAGUUGCCUCCACAUGAUUCUUCUCAAAGUGAGGAUAAGAUUACAGAUAAUACCUUCUUCACAAGGUAAUGGAUCCUAGCACAGGUUAUUUCUUAAGUGAUCAUAAAUAUCUGACGUACGUAUAUUAGGACUUGAAACCCAGAAUAGAAAUCCGUAGGCGUUUUAUUAAACAGGUGCCGAGUUCCAUUUUUAAAAUUGGAAAUGUAGCUACGAAGGCUAAACACAGAAGACGUCUCUGAUUUCUUCUUCCAAUGCUCCAAGGCCAAAAGGCAGAGCAUGUUGUAAAGCAUCCUGAAUUGGAAGACACAGGUUCUAAUCUUGACCUUGUCACCUUGAACUUGGGUGAAAUAUGAUGGAAUUUAAAGCAGUAUUGAGGAGCUAUUCUAAGGCAAGUCCUUGUCUUCCCCCCUCCCCCCUUUAUUUCAGGUUAUUCGAGUAGCACGCAUCUGCUAAUUAAGUCACUGUGAUUUGAAAGCACAUUUAAGUCCUGGCUCAAGUACAUAACCUUUUCGGCCUCCGGCAUUGCUUUGGAAUUCCUGUGUCUCAACACUCCUCUAGCCAGGCCCAGAAUGUGAGUUUAUGCUGGCAAGAUACCAAGGGAUGGGCCAUUUGUUUAUCAGCGUUGCCUGGCACAGGCAAGGGUCAUUGAAGGUAGGAUGCCAAAUAUAGGUUCGCCCGUCACUCAGCCCCAUUUGCCACCUGGGUCACAGUCUCCAUCACAUCACCUGGCAUUACUCCCCGGGCCAGUCCUGGAGAUGGCCGUGUUGUCACUGAUGAAGUCGAGGGUCAUGAUUGAAAUGGGGGACAGUUUGGGGUUUCUGAAGAGGAUAGAGAAUGUGAGCUUUGCUACAUCGGUUAGGGGGAGGGUGAACUCCAGACUUUUGGAUACCCAGUUCCCAGUGAGAGACUACCUGUGUCGAUUUCUUCACGAAUAAUGCUGUGGAAACAGUUAUACUGGGAACGUGCGAUAGUGGGUGCUGGGAAAAGCAUUGGAUCAGAUGCAAGAAGCCAGAGUUCUAGUUCCGCCUUGCCUCUUCAGAGCUGUGUGAUCUGGGAAAACCAGUGAAGCUCUCUGAACUUCAGUAUCCUCUCUCUAAAAUGGGCAUAAUGUCUCAUCUGUUCCACUAUUGCUGGGAGGAUUGUGGCAGUUGAGGUACAUCGUAUCACUUUGUAAACUGUGGAGUAUUAUAAAAUGUGCAAACUAAUUAGAUCUGCAAUAACUCUAGAUUGUCACAUACCAAUCUGACCCUUCAGAAGAAUAACGAUGCUGUGUAUUUGGGCACCUCCUUCCACUGUUUGGUGCUUAUCAAGCUUAUCAACUAUGGAGCUGAAAGGUGACACCUUAGGGCAAAAAUGGGUGGGGGAGGCAAAAUGGACACUCAGUGACUCAGUUUCUUCUUUGUAGGCAUCCCUUAAAGAACGUGGGAGGGAAUCUUAGGCUACGACUUUGAGCGGACUGUUAGUGACGAUGCCAUUUUCAGCUCAGUGUUGGUUCAUGUGGUCAUCCUAUUAGAUGCCUGAUUCUCCAUGGACAUCCUUAAAGAUGAAAGGCGCGAUGUACUCUCAAUUCGGGUGGCGCGUUCACGCCACGAUGUUGGAUCUCACCAAGGAGGCUGCAUUGGUUCAGUAAAGCCACCAGGGACAUGACCUUCAUGGAAUGAUCACUGAAGUCAGCUUAAGUUAGUUACUUCAACCUCGGCCCCGCUGUCACGUGUGUCCUGGAGUGGGGAGCCGGGAAGACAGAACAGGGUCCCGAUCAGCCACGUCGGGCUCCGUGGCAUCUCCCCACAGGCUUCCAGGCCGUCACCGAGCCCUCCAGUCUCCCACUUCUUCCUCUAACAGUGCCUCCGUGGCACUUGUGAAUUCCCCUUGAAGUCAUGGAUUUCAGGAUCUGAUCUGACCUAAGAUAUCCCACGAUACCCAGACAUAAUUUGGUAUAGAGUUUAGCUGCUCACUGUACUGCUUUAUCAUACAAUACAGAGAUUGACUAGGACAUACGUAAUUCCUUUUGUUGACAAAAUACUUAGGAUCUUCCAAAAAGAAGUAGGUAACUCUCCUCUCAGCUUUCACUGCAAAUGCUCAAUAAAAUCUCACAGUAUGUUUCAGUAUGGAAAUUGGCUACAGUAGGUUGCAUUUGAAUCUGCCCACAAAAUGGAUAGUUUUACAUGUGCGUUUUAAAUAGCGCUAAGCUUUGUUCCAAAUUCAAUCUCGGAAAUAAGAGUCUAUAAUUGUUUUCAAGUUAGUUCGAAUGAUAUGAAAUGACAUUUUUUUUUAUUACAAAAGGAAAGAUACUGGUUAACCAAAAUUUUCAGAUGCUUGUUAUAGCUUGGUGUCAUUGUGAUAAUGUCGCAUCUAUGUCAUAUCAUAGAUGGUUGCCUCUUAAGGAAACUCGGGGUUUGGAGAAGGGAGAGGCAUCUUCCCGUCGGUUAUCUUCUUUGAACGAGGAUGGGAUGUGGAUACAAGUUAGGGCUUUGGAGGGAAAUAGACUGUGGUUCCAAGUCACCUCAUCGUUACAUCUGUGUGACCUUAGCUAAAUUACUUAACAUCUCUGAGCCUCACAUUCUCCUCCUCACUGAAAUAGGGAUCAAAACACCCACCUUGAAGGGUUGCUGUGGGGCUAGAUGAGAUAAGGGAUGUAAAGGACUUAGCACAACAUUCACACAUUAGGGUAAGUACUAAGUAAUAAUUGUUAUAUUCUUUUUUAAAAAAAUUUUAAUGCUUGUUUAUUUAUUUUUUUAAUGAAAUUUAUUGUCAAAUUGGUUUCCAUACAACACCCAGUACUCAUCCCAAAAGGUG
Molecule: long non-coding RNA, 6321 nt
Organism: Acinonyx jubatus (cheetah)
Lineage: Eukaryota; Metazoa; Chordata; Mammalia; Carnivora; Felidae
Exons: 4
Source: RefSeq, a predicted model, not a curated record